UACCUACAAAAGAAGCACCGGCUAACUAUGUGCCAGCAGCCGCGGUAAUACAUAGGGUGCAAGCGUUGUCCGGAAUUAUUGGGCGUAAAGAGCUCGUAGGUCGUUUGUUACGUCGGAUGUGAAAACCUGAGGCUCAACCUCAGGCCUGCAUUCGAUACGGGCAAACUAGAGUUUGGUAGGGGAGACUGGAAUUCCUGGUGUAGCGGUGGAAUGCGCAGAUAUCAGGAGGAACACCAAUGGCGAAGGCAGGUCUCUGGGCCAAUACUGACACUGAGGAGCGAAAGUCUGGGGAGCGAACAGGAUUAGAUACCCUGGUAGU
RNAcentral lists this ribosomal RNA (319 nucleotides) under uncultured bacterium. Its description in RNAcentral is "bacterial SSU rRNA". It matches the Rfam family "Bacterial small subunit ribosomal RNA", at positions 476 to 794 of the family's 1533-position model. The record is from RNAcentral.